UGCGUAGGCGGCUUUUUAAGUCAGAGGUGAAAUCCCGGGGCUCAACCCCGGAACUGCCUUUGAAACUGGGAAGCUAGAAUCCUGGAGAGGCGAGUGGAAUUCCGAGUGUAGAGGUGAAAUUCGUAGAUAUUCGGAAGAACACCAGUGGCGAAGGCGACUCGCUGGACAGGUAUUGACGCUGAGGUGCGAAAGCGUGGGGAGCAAACAGGAUUAGAUACCCCUGUA
RNAcentral lists this ribosomal RNA (225 nucleotides) under uncultured Porphyrobacter sp. RNAcentral describes it as "partial 16S ribosomal RNA". It matches the Rfam family "Bacterial small subunit ribosomal RNA", at positions 568 to 792 of the family's 1533-position model. Lineage: Bacteria; Pseudomonadati; Pseudomonadota; Alphaproteobacteria; Sphingomonadales; Erythrobacteraceae. The record is from RNAcentral.